RNAcentral lists this unclassified non-coding RNA (324 nucleotides) under Athalia rosae (coleseed sawfly). RNAcentral describes it as "misc RNA ENSAEAG00005003952.1". The record is from RNAcentral. Lineage: Eukaryota; Metazoa; Arthropoda; Insecta; Hymenoptera; Athaliidae.
UUACGACCCCUGAACGUGAAAGAAAAAGCAAGGAUGAAAAAAAUGAAUAUUAAAAUGGAUAUGAUUUUAUUCAGUCACCUAAAAAAAAGGCGGAACAAGCGGCAACAAAAUCAUUGACCGCAGCAACAGAAACUGCAGUAGCAGCAAGUGAUGCAUCAGCAAGAACAGCAACAGCUGGAAAAAGAACAAUCGCUGCAGCAGCAAGAAUCAAAGCAGCGGGUGGAUCAAAAGUAGCAGCAGCAGAAGUGAGGGCCGCAGCAGAGGAACUGCGAGCAGCAGCAGCAAGAGCGAGGGCAGCGGCUACAAGAGCAAGAGUAGUGGCUG